Mya arenaria is the source of this 1025-nucleotide long non-coding RNA. RefSeq lists it as uncharacterized. The record is from RefSeq and is a predicted model, not a curated record. Lineage: Eukaryota; Metazoa; Mollusca; Bivalvia; Myida; Myidae. The transcript has 2 exons.
GCCAAAUAUAUUGCAUCACCAGUGAUCGUGGAAACAGGUUGAAACAUUAGGAACAAAUAUCGGAAUUCAUUUUACAGCAAAUGUUUUGUUAAAGAAUAACCAGUUAUGUCAUCGACGUUAGACGGACAACUUUGAGAAAUCAUGGGACUCGGUUAUCGUUUACUAGUUCCCAUAGUUAUUCUUUUGUCGGUUUUCUUGGCGUUAACAUGCGCCAGGCGAGGUAACUUUUGUCAAAGUGUAGGCUGGAUUGGUUGUGUGAAUGUUGGGUGCGGAGACGAGGGAGAGGGGGAAUGUAUCAAUCUUGGAUAUCCGCCGCAUAACAACUGUGUCUGUGUUAUACGAUUUCGGCGAUAGCAGUACGUAUUGGUCUUGGAUUAAACGCGGAAUGUAUUGAACUGAUCAUUUGCAAAAAACGGUGUAAUCAUUAAAUUUACGAGGACAAGGGUGAACUCAAAGUAUUCAAUCUCGUACGUAUGGACGUGGGAUACAUAUCCGUAAUCUAUUUCAUUUGCUUUCGGAGAUAUAAGUUACUUGAGGCUAAAGAAUUCACUAGUUCAAUGUAUUGCAUUGUGAAAAAAAGUCACAAAUAUGUUUUCAUCAUUCUGUUUCAAGACUGCAGGGUCGGCGACUGAAGGGAAAACCUUCACCUAAUUUUGAAAAUGGAUGCGUGAAAAGCUAAAUAAAUCAGACAACUCAAGUACAUCAUAGAGCAAUAAAAAAAGUUCAUAUCAGACGCUACCAAAAGGUGCAUUAUGUCAACAGACACAAUGUCAAACGCGCAGCUUCACAUUUGUUUCUCUACCUCAUCAAUUUAUGAGUUUUGCUCGGUCUAAAUCGGACACAUUAUUCCUUUAAAAAAACAUGAAGUGAAAAAAAUAUGAAGUGAUAAACUUACGUUAGGACAGAGCUGUAACAUGCAAUGUUUUGUGUUGAAAUUGUGUUAUGUCAAAUUAUUCUUAAUUUGUCACCAUGAUGUAAACUUAAAUAGGAAAUUACGAAUAAGACAGUAAUAAAAAUAAGGAACA